Non-coding RNA from Theobroma umbraticum, 3309 nucleotides. NCBI's taxonomy places the organism in Eukaryota, Viridiplantae, Streptophyta, Magnoliopsida, Malvales, Malvaceae. The record is from RefSeq and is a predicted model, not a curated record.
UCCUUGCUUUGUUGAAAGAGAACUUGAGCUUUCUUCUUUUACCCAUGAGCUCCCAAGUUUCCCUUGAGAUCUUCAGGCAUUGUAGCGGCACUUUGAGGCUUAGAAACACACACCAAAGCCAAGCCACAAUUGGGUCAAGCUGAAGCAAUUUGGAGUUAGGGUGCUUUGGGUUGGCCACUAGGGUAAGAGUUUGAGGUAUAUUGAUGGUUGGAAAUUCUGAGAUUUUAGUUUGGAAGUUGUUAGUGAAGAAAUGAAACUGAGUUAUGCUUAGAAAUCCUGGAACUUUCUGAAAACAGGAGUUUUGAGAUUUAUUCUGUUUUGGUGGAGUGGAAGGCUAAAAAAAAAAACAAAAAAACAAAAAAAAAAAAGUGUUGGUGAGCAAGGUUUGGCAAAUUGCUAGUUGUUGAAGAACUUCUAGUCAAGCUACAGGCGUAAUUCUGUCAAGGUUAAGGAGUUAAAGACAAGUUUGGGUAAUGUUUUAAUUAAAUCUUUCUGUAUGUUGGUGCUUGGGGAAAGGUUUGAGCCUUAGCAUCGUAUUCCUGGAUAUCUGAUCAGCUUUAGGUAAGCAUUCUGUCGUUCUCUAUUUCUGCUCGUGAAUUUCUGUUUCUCUGUGAGUAUGCUUCUGUUAUUUGCUUAUGGACUUCUGAGGCUGUUAUUCUGUUUCCACAUGUCUGAUAGCACCUAAGAGAAUUGGCAUGAGAAAUAGUUCUAAAAUACACCUGAUAUUUGUUAUGCCUGGCAUGCAGCAUAUGCUUCGAUGAACCGGUUAUGAUUUUGAUUCUGUUCAGGUAAAUAGGUUAGAAAAUGUAAGGGCAGUGACUUGGAUAAUACUUGUUCUGGUUAAAAAAAAUAACUAAACUCUCCCGUUUCCGCAUGUUUAGUUCCGCACCUACUCACUGAGUUAUGAAAGACUCAUCCCAAUUAAUUGUUGCCUUGUGCAAAUAUAUAUAGCUUUUGGGGACUUUCGCUUGGAAGCAAGUAGCUUGCAUCUGUUCUGUAGGCUGAUUUUGGCAUCCGAUAGGGACACCCAACCUGUUGUGUCCACUCUGCUGAUUCUGGUCUCAGACGUUUCUGGUUUUGUGGGCGACUGUGUUGCCGGUUAUUUCCGUUAGCUUAUUUUGAGAGGGAUUUAGCCCAGUAUAUAAGCACUUCUGUUUUUAUUUAUGCACGUGCACAUUGACUUACGUAUCAAUGUGCGAGGAAUGUGCAUAUAUAUACAUAUAUAUGUUUUGUACAUGUAAGUAUACGUAAAUGAAUUGUUUUAUAAGUUGCAAACAUUUGGAGUAAGUAUAUUAUCUAAAUUUCAGUCUUGUCACACACAUACAAAUGGAUUUUGUGUGCUAUAUUUGUUAAUCCGAUGUCCAAUUUUUGAGGUUGGCUUGGUUCUGGCGGGUUUCACCUGUAAGAUCCUUGUGCCGAUAACGGCCUUAAGUUUGGGUCGGUACAUCGAAAAUGAACGAAAAUUGAAAAAAAUAUUUUGUUUAAAUUAAAUUAUUAUAUACAUGAAGCAUUUUCAAAUUAAUUGAUAGUGAAUCAAGAAAUCAUAUUUCAUUCCUAAUAAAGGAAAGAAGGGAAAUGCUUCUCUUUCCUUAUGGUACGUAUUUUGAAUUGGAAUGCUCUAUUUUUGUUUUUCUUUUACAUUGUCAUAGCUCAUUGCUUGUUUUUAACACAAACACAUUUUCUUUUUUGGAUUAAAAUUUAUUAAUUUGAAAGUUUUAAAAUAAUUUUUUUUCCUUACUUGUCACUCUUCACCUAAAAAAAUUAUCAAAAUUAGAAAAUAAAAUUUUUUGAUAUUAUAUUAUAUUUUUAUUUAUUAAUAUGUUCAUAGUGGAAAUUUUAGAAAUGCCAUCAAAUAUGUUCUAUCGCCAACUAUAAUCCCCCUUAAAAUGGCUCUAGUCUUUCUCUCUCACACAAGAUCCAAACCCUUCAAAGCUAAAGAUCCGCAAUUUCGAAGGUACCUUUACCUCUUAUACCGAUUUACUUUUCCAAUUGAUGUUCUUCAGUCCCUUUUGUUUGUUUCUUUUUUUAGCUGUUCAUUGUUAAUCCACUCUAUAAAUCACUUGCUUUUAUUGAUCUCUACUGAAGCCUUUUAGUCUUUAAAACCAUUUUAUCUGUCUGGGUUUUUCUUGUUUUGUAGAAAUUUCGAUUCUUUUUCAACCAAAUCUAACACUGCAUGAAUCUGGUUUUGCCUUUUCUAUUGACUACUUUGUUUUCUUUUUCCUUUUACAGCUUUUUCCUCCCUUUUUUUUUUAUGUUGGAAAGAGAAUAAUUUUAAUUUUGUUUCUGGGUGGGGUGGUUAACUAUUUGUUAUGGAGAUUUACAAGAUGUUUGCUUUGUUGGGUAUGUUGGGGAUUAGAAACAUCUGUUUUUGGUUCUGAAUCUGAUGCUUUAUUUCAAGGAAAUGGGAACUGGGGCACAUAUUACUUUAUUAGUAUGCUGUGUAAUUGUUUAAAAAAUGGAAACUUUUGCUGGCUCCAUAAGGAAUUUACUGUAAAUCAUUUCUAAUCACAAAGUACUGAGCAUGGCUGGGUAAUAUACCCAAGUGUUUUCUGCACAAGGCCAAAUGGGCUAUCAUAUUUAGCUUGAACAUUUUUUGGCAUAUUAUUGAUAAAUGUUGAGGUAAACAUGUGGUUCUACCAUCAAUCAUGGUGCUUAAUCAUUGAUAUGCAAAAGAAGGGAUGGCGAGAGAGACUCUGACCUAACUUUUGAUUAUAGUAUAAUGUGAAAGUAGAGACAGUCUAGUAGUAGUGGAAAGAGAGUUCUCCUUUAGGGAGAUAAACUUACCAUAUAUGUAGUAAUAGAAAAAUUUUUACAAAGCCCUUGGUAUAAUUUUUUCCCACAACACUAGCCCCCAAUUCCCAAAGCCCGAGCUAGCAUAGGUUGACCAAAGGGAGCAAUUAAGCAAAGGUCUAAUGCACUAGGCCAGGUUGCUGAAGAAGUUGUUUGCAAAUGUGGUUAUCUUCUUAAUGUUGUUGCUUGUGCAAGGUUUAAUUAAGAAACAACAAAGGCUAGCAGUUGGUUUUUUUUCUACAAUCUAUGUCCAGUUGAGGUAGCAUAUUGAAAGAUUCUUAAGAAAUGGCUAGUGGAACAACUUUCCCAAGCGGAAGUGCAAUAGCUGUUGUGAGCCUGCAUAAGAAGAGAACGACAAAUGGUGCAACCUUGAAAGGGCAAUUGGGACCAUGCUCCAGUUUUACAUAGAUGAUGAUCCAUGCCUCAAUAUCUCUCCAAAUGUUGUGCUUCUCAUAAGCAUCAGUUUCAUCGCUUUAGUUGCUAUUCUUCAUGUCAUGGGUAAGCUGUAUUUUGUUUGUA